RNAcentral lists this ribosomal RNA (883 nucleotides) under Gymnophalloides seoi. Its description in RNAcentral is "bacterial SSU rRNA". It matches the Rfam family "Eukaryotic small subunit ribosomal RNA", at positions 258 to 1071 of the family's 1831-position model. The record is from RNAcentral. Lineage: Eukaryota; Metazoa; Platyhelminthes; Trematoda; Gymnophallidae.
AACUUUACUGAUCGCAGUCGGCCAAGUGUCGGCGACGGAUCUUUCAAAUGUCUGCCCUAUCAAUUAUCGAUGGUAGGUGACCUGCCUACCAUGGUGAUAACGGGUAACGGGGAAUCAGGGUUCGAUUCCGGAGAGGGAGCCUGAGAAACGGCUACCACAUCCAAGGAAGGCAGCAGGCACGCAAAUUACCCAAUCCCGGCACGGGGAGGUAGUGACGAAAAAUACGAAUACGGGACUCAAUUGAGGCUCCGUAAUUCGAAUGAGUACAAUUUAAAUCCUUUAACGAGGACCAACUGGAGGGCAAGUCUGGUGCCAGCAGCCGCGGUAACUCCAGCUUCAGAAGCGUAUAUUAAAGUUGUUGCAGUUAAAAAGCUCGUAGUUGGAUCUGGGUCGUAUAGCCACAUGCUGUGCUUGUGCUGUCUGCUGUAAAAGGUGGACUAGUACGAGUCGGUGUAGUGGUUGUGCAGCCUUUCUGCCGUGUCUGUGUAUACGGGUGCUGGCUGGCUCGGUGGGUUCGUCCUGUCAGUCAGUUGGCAUGCUUCUUGAUGCCCUUAACACGGUGUCGGGAGCGGACGGCACGUUUACUUUGAACAAAUUUGAGUGCUCAAAGCAGGCCAAUGCGCCUGAAAAUUCUUGCAUGGAAUAAUGGAAUAGGACUUCGGUUCUAUUUUGUUGGUUUUCGGAUCCGAAGUAAUGGUUAAGAGGGACAGACGGUGUUAGAGGUGAAAUUCUUGGAUCGCCGCCAGACAAACUACAGCGAAAGCAUUUGCCAAGGAUGUUUUCAUUGAUCUGGAGCGAAAGUCAGAGGUUCGAAGACGAUCAGAUACCGUCCUAGUUCUGACCAUAAACGAUGCCAACUGACGAUCCGUGGUGGUUCUUUUAU